Molecule: ribosomal RNA, 256 nt
Filed under: uncultured bacterium
Lineage: Bacteria
Description: partial 16S ribosomal RNA
Rfam family: Bacterial small subunit ribosomal RNA
Source: RNAcentral
UACGUAGGUGGCAAGCCGUUGUCCGGAAUUAUUGGGCGUAAAGCGUGCGCAGGCGGUUUUGUAAGCCAGAUGUGAAAGCCCCCGGGCUUAACCUGGGAAUGGCAUUUGGGACUGCAAGGCUGGAGUACGGCAGAGGGAGGUGGAAUUCCAGGUGUAGCAGUGAAAUGCGUAGAGAUCGGGAGGAACAUCCAUGGCGAAGGCAGCUACCGUGGACCAACACUGACACUGAGGCACGAAAGCGUGGGGAGCAAACAGG